RNAcentral lists this ribosomal RNA (942 nucleotides) under uncultured bacterium. Its description in RNAcentral is "bacterial SSU rRNA". It matches the Rfam family "Bacterial small subunit ribosomal RNA", at positions 8 to 916 of the family's 1533-position model. The record is from RNAcentral.
AGAGUUUGAUCCUGGCUCAGGAUGAACGCUGGCGGCGUGCUUAACACAUGCAAGUCGAACGAUCUUGCCUCAUGAUUUCGGUCAUGAGAACGGGAUAGUGGCGAACUGGUGAGUAAGACAUGGGCAACCUGCCCUUCAGAUCGGGAUAGCAGCUGGAAACGGCUGGUAAUACCGGGUACUCUCCCCUAGUCGCAUGACCUGGGGAGGAAAGAUGGCCUAUCCUUGGAAGCUAUCACUGAAGGAGGGGCCCGUGGCCCAUUAGCUAGUUGGCGGGGUAACGGCCCACCAAGGCUACGAUGGGUAGCUGGUUUGAGAGGAUGAUCAGCCACACUGGGACUGAGAUACGGCCCAGACUCCUACGGGAGGCAGCAGUGAGGAAUUUUCCCAAUGGGCGAAAGCCUGACGGAGCGACGCCGCGUGGACGAAGAAGGUUUUCGGAUCGUAAAGUCUUGUCAGGGGGAAAGAACCCCCGCCGUGUGAAUAAUUCGGCGGGUUGACGGUACCCCCAAAGGAAGCUCCGGCCAACUACGUGCCAGCAGCCGCGGUAAUACGUAGGGAGCAAGCGUUAUCCGGAAUCACUGGGCGUAAAGAGCUCGUAGGCGGUUAGAUAAGUCGCAUGUUAAAUACCCAGGCUCAACCAGGGGAAUGCGUGCGAUACUGUUUAGCUAGAGGACGGGAGAGGUAAGUGGAAUUCCUGGUGUAGCGGUGAAAUGCAUAGAUAUCAGGAAGAACACCAGUGGCGAAGGCGGCUUACUAGACCGUUCCUAACGCUGAGGAGCGAAAGCCAGGGGAGCAAACGGGAUUAGAUACCCCGGUAGUCCUGGCCGUAAACGAUGGGUACUAGGUGUGGGAGGUAUCGACCCCUUCCGUGCCGCAGCUAACGCAUUAAGUACCCCGCCUGGGGAGUACGGCCGCAAGGUUAAGACUCAAAGGAAUUGACGG